CACGUAGGGGGCAAGCGUUGUCCGGAUUUAUUGGGCGUAAAGAGCUCGUAGGCGGUUUCGUAAGUCGGAUGUGAAAACUCCAGGCUCAACUUGGAGACGCCAUUCGAUACUGCGAUGACUUGAGUCCGGUAGGGGAGUGUGGAAUUCCUGGUGUAGCGGUGAAAUGCGCAGAUAUCAGGAGGAACACCGGCGGCGAAGGCGGCAUCCUGGACCGGCAUUGACGCUGAGGCGCGAAAGCCAGGGGAGCAAACGGG
This 254-nucleotide ribosomal RNA is filed under the name uncultured bacterium. RNAcentral's name for it is "partial 16S ribosomal RNA". It matches the Rfam family "Bacterial small subunit ribosomal RNA", at positions 524 to 776 of the family's 1533-position model. The record is from RNAcentral.